This is a small nuclear RNA of Hyaena hyaena (striped hyena), 107 nucleotides long. The record is from RefSeq and is a predicted model, not a curated record. Lineage: Eukaryota; Metazoa; Chordata; Mammalia; Carnivora; Hyaenidae.
GUGCUCACUUUGGCAGCAUAUGUAGUAAAACUAGAUCAACACAGAAAAGACUGGCAUGGCCACAGCACAAGAGUAAGAGGCAAAUUCAUGAAGUGUUCCAGAUUUUU